GGAGCCGCGGCCGUUCUAUCAGCCUACCGCCUCUGGCCAUCCCCGACCGUCCGCGCUUCCCCAGCGCUGUGGUCACCGGUGGCUUGACCCUCCCUGAUUUCACCGCGGAGGACCAGUGAGAGCCGAGUCGGGCCUUCCCCUUGGGGCCGUGCUCCCAUUGCGCCCCUCCCUCCGCAGGGCGCCCGCAUGGAACCCCGCGUGGGCCCAGGGCGGGAAGAAAAGGCUGUUCAGAUAAUCCCAUCAUCUACAAGAGGAUUUGGCCUUGGACAAGUACUUUUGCCUGUCUCAGGACUAGCCAGUUGGCCUACAUUUGUGGAAUACUAUAAAACACCAAGAAGAAAAAAUAGGAAGUUAAACCUGGCUUCAACAGAAUUCUGGUCAUGAUAGACCAGAUUCAAAUCACUUGGCUUCAGCUGAAUCAUCAUGGUGGGAAAGGCAGGAUUACCUGGAUCUAGAAGUUUCUUGUCCUCUGUUGACUGGAAAGCAUCAGGGGCCUUGGCUUCUAGCACAAAGGGGAGGAAAAGUUCCUGCCUUACCUUAGCUCAGCCUAAAAACAUUCUGCAUCUGCCAUUCACUGCCUGGACUGAGCUUUUGGAGUUAACAUUCUCAUCUGAUCUUACCUCCCACUUCUAGGAACAUAUCUCUUUGUUUCAUUAUGGCUUCUAGUACUCAUAGACUUCUGGACUCGAAUACUCAUUGUUUCUCUUUACCAUCUUUACUUAACCUUUUUUCCAUCAAGGUUCAUACUUUUCAAAUUCACAACCCAAGUUCUGUAUCACAAUGGCUAUUUACUGGCCUUAUCUCAUGUACCCUUUAUACUCACAUCUCUGCCAAGAAGCAUUCAGGCUUCAGUAACCAGAAUCCCCACGCUAGGACAAGUCCUAGUAGGCUUUCAUCUGAGUUAUGAAACCAUUAUGACACUGUAGCAUUUAUUUCCAUUUGGAAUAAACUGUUUUAGAAGAAUCUGUGAAGUUUAGAAUAUAGUAUCCUAUAAAGAUGUUUGGAAAAUAGGGACUGCUCCUAGAUCAGUCCACCAAAAAAGCCCCUAGCGUGGCCCAUAACAGAUUGUAUUGAUGACAUUUUUUCUAAAUAAAUCCUAUAAUGCUUAGAAA
Long non-coding RNA from Vombatus ursinus (common wombat), 1112 nucleotides. RefSeq lists it as uncharacterized. The transcript has 3 exons. The record is from RefSeq and is a predicted model, not a curated record. NCBI's taxonomy places the organism in Eukaryota, Metazoa, Chordata, Mammalia, Diprotodontia, Vombatidae.